GCCUGACAUCAGAGGUGCUCACUAAAUGAUGGUUUUAGCAUCAUGUGUGUAUGCAUGCCUCACGUCCAUUGAAAAAUUACCUGAGGUUCUAGUUCCAGGUAAGAUGAGGUAAACAUACUCUACUCUGUGUCUCCCACUGAAUGCAUCUUAAAACCUGGACUGAACACAUGGAUUGGCUAUUUGAAGUCUCUAGAAGAGGACCAAAUAUCAAAGAAACACCAAAUUAAUGCAAGUGACACAGAUCAGGCCAAUGAGCUGGAAGGAGAAUCCUACUGAGGGGCAUUCAGGAAACGGAAAAGGUGCAAUAAACAGGAAGAUGUACUUGGCUGGAUCAGAAUUUUGCCUUCUCCUCUCUUUCCUACUUUGAAUGCCAAAUUAUGUUAGGAGCAGCAGCAGCUACUUUGUGACCAUGAGGGGCAAGCUAAGAGUAAUGGCCUAAGAAGAACCGGGCAGAAGACAGGAAGUUCCACAGCCUAUGAGGACAUCACUGAGCAACUGGACCAGUGUCAGCAAUUACCCACCUCUGCGUAUUUGUUGGAUAUUCUGUUACUUACAGUCAAACACAGUCCUAAUUAAUAAACUCUCUAAGCCUCAUUUUCCUCUACUGGUAACUGGAGCUAACAAUAUUUAUCGACAUUCAUUACACUCAUGUCAUGUGCCAAGAACUCCUCUAGGUGCUGGCGGCACAGUGGUCAAGAAGAGAUAAGCUCCCUCGUCUUUUUGCAUUUACAUUUUGGUGGGAGAGACAGACACUGAACCCAUAAAAAGACAAGAAUAUAUCUGAGCAUGAAAAGUGCCAUGAAGAAAAGAAAAGAAGGCAGUGUGACAGAGGGACUGGUGUGAACAUGUCCUGGGAUCCUCAUGACGGGACUCUGUGGGGAAGUGAUACCUGAGCUGAGACUUGAAUGGGAAGAAAAUGACAUGGGUGAGUGUGGGGAAUAGCAUUCCGGGCAGAGGGAAUAGCAAGGGCAAAGGCCUUGAGGCAGGGCCAAGCUCGGUGAGUGGGCAGACCAGGAAGAAGGCCAGAUGGCUGGACAGCUGGGAUUGAGGAAAGGAGAGGAUGGAGGUGAUUCUGGAGGGGUGUGCUGGGGUCAGUCUUGGUAAGCAGGAUGGAUUUAUUGUAAAUGCAAAAGAGAAGCCACUGGAGGGCUCUCAGAGGAGUGUGGGACAAUGACUUGAGUUGCUGGCACACCAUAGGUACUUAAUAAAUGUCUAUAGCCUAGGGUGGAUGGUGCAUCCCCUUAGUGGGACUCCCGUCCUUUCUCAGUCUCAAUCAGCCCGUGCCCCUGUGCUACCUGCCUCGUGCCCCCAGCCCCCGAGCUGGACCCCUCCGGCUGCCUCGUGAGCUCUCCCGGCCCUGCGCCGUCCUCCCCCGCCAGGGCCGUUUGCUCCCUCCAGAGCUGGCAAGCAUAAUUGCUGCUUUCCACAGUGACAUAAAAAUCUAAGAGGCACAAUCAAUACAGCGCACACACACAUCAUCGUCCUUCAUUGCAAACGAUAAAAGCGUAAACAGCAGGGGUGGCGGCAACUCCCGAGGCUGCGGUGGGGGCAGGGCGGACUGCCACAGUCUCCUCGCCCGUCCCUCCCCUCUGGGGCACCGUCUCACUCUGGGGAGCUGCCGCUCAUUAAAGCACAGUUGGGAAACGGUUUUCUCUCUCUUUUCCUUCCAGAUGCAGCAACCCCAGUCUCUGUAACGCGACUUCAGAAAUCCAAUUUGUCUUUCCUUUCACUAUUUUAAAUGUUUUUUCUUGCUUCCCUGCAUCUCCCCAAAUACAGUGCUAGAAGCGCCUUUCUGGAGACAGAAGGACUUUCCUGGGUCUUGUUUGUCACAAGCCCACAAACUGACCUCAAAGGGGAGACCAGCCCUUGAUGGCCAGCUUCUUUGCUCCAUCCAGUCUGCCACCCACAGCUUGCCUUAGAAUAUGCGCAGAAACCAUCACACCCCAGCUCUCAGACUUGCAGCGACUUCUUCAAACUAGUUACUUAAUGAACGUCAUCCGGUUCCGAUUCAGCCUUGUCAUAUUCUCAUUUGCAAAAGCCAAUCUGCUUUACGAUUCCAACCUCUGGCUAGAAACCGCUCCCAAUUUCAUGUCAUCCAUAAACUUGAUGAACGAUUAGCUUGCUCCUCUGCAGUCAUUCAUUUAUUUAUUCAACUAACAUGUAGUGAGUGCCUACUGGAUGCUGGGUGCUAGACACAGAGUUAAAGGAGACGCAGGUCUUAUCCUUGAGAAACUCCUAUGCUGGCGGUGGAGCAGACGUGGAAAUGGUUUGUUGCAGGUGUCCUAUGCUCAACCAGGGCAGAGGAUGAGAGCGGCCUCCUCAGGGGAGGGGCGGUGUAAGCUGGCCUUAAGACGCUGGAGGGGGAGACCUUCCCAGCUGGGGAAGAAAUGGUGUCCUAGUUCGAGAGACCAGAAUGUGCACAAGCAAGGAGUUCUGGGUGGUGACGGGAGAAGAAAUGUACUGAUAUCUAUAAACGUGAGGGGCAAUGAGCCUCAGGACAGGAUCCAGCUGGGACCGGGAGGCCUGUCUCUUGGCUCUUCCCGUUUCUGCUUCAUCCUGAGGCUCCAUCUGGUAGCAAAACGGCUUUGAGCAGCCUCAGGGUUACAUCCUCCCAGGUUCAAUUCAUGGAAAAGAAAGUCUGCUCUCCUCUGACAGACUCGGCACUGGGUCUCCCUGGAUCACAUGGUCUCCCCGACCAAUCAGAAUGGCUGGGGGAAUACAGGCACUUUGGCCAGGUCUGAGGCACGUGGUGUCCCUGGACCUGGGGUGGAGUCAGCUGCCUUUGAAGCCCUGGGCUGAAGGGAGGGUGGGGAUUCCCAGGGGAAAGUUGGGUGGUGUUGGUGCUGAGAAGGGUGCACAGGUGCAGGGCUGCCGGAACACAGAUGGCCACUAUGUGGCCACUGGCGCGCUGUGGCACUCUGUCUCCCCAGGUGGUGGAAGGGGAGCCCCGGGGGUCCUUUCUGCGUGGUGGGUACAGGGAGUCACUCACAGGCACUCCGAGGGUGAGGUCGGCCGCGUGAGGCCUCCUCGCUUCCACGCUCUUCUAACUGUCUGCAGGUGGGUUUGGGUGGACUUCCUGCUUUCCCAAAUGCUGGAUUUAAGCCAGUCAGCAUGUAAUCUCCAGCCAGUCCUCUGUCCUCAGCCUCCCCACUCGUCAAGCUCUUUUCCUGCCCUUCCGCCAAACUGAACCUCCAGCCAUUUCGGGAACUCCACGGUGGCCACCGGCACCUUCUAACCAGAACUCGGCACGGGAGGCUCAGCUGGAGCCAGGGCUUGCCUGCUCUAAUGGGCCUCUCAUUGGCACAUCCUGAGCACUGCAGCCUUCCAUCAGGACUUAAGACGGAGUGGUGGGCUCCUCGGUAGAUAGGUAGGGUCCCCGAGGAUAGGUUCCUUGGGGACAGACAGAUCUAGGUUCUAGUCUGUAGGGACCAGGAUUAAGUUCAGCUGUGGGUGACAGACACCACCCCGAGGAGAAAAACAGUGCCCCAAAGACAGAAGUUUAUUUCUCUCUCAAACAAUCAAGAACCUAGAAGGUGGAAGAGAAGUUUCUCAGAGUCAAUGUCAAUCAUUCUUUCUUGCUGCUCAGCUCUCUUGUUUAUUUUUAUUUCUUUUUUAAAGAUCAGCACCUGAGCUAACAACUGUUGCCAAUCUUCUUUUUUUCUUCUUCUUCUUCUUCUCCCCGAAGCCCCCAGUACAUAGUCGUAUACCCUAGUUGUGAGUGCCUCUGGUUGAGCUCUGUGGGACGCCGCCUCAGCGUGGCCUGAUGAGUGGUGUCAUGUCCGUGCCCAGGAUCCGAACCAGCGAAACCCUGGGCCGCCGAAGCAGAGCGCACGAACUUAACCACUCGGCCACGGGCCAGCCCCAGCUCUCUUCUUCAAGUGGCUUCCUCUUCAUGGUCCAUGGUGGCUGUUUGGUUCCAGCCCCUAGGAGAAGAAGGGGACAAAGAAGCGCAUGUUCUCCCUUUCAGGACACUCCCAGAACUGCACGCUACACUUGUGCUUACAGCUCACAGUCAGAAUUGAGUCACGUGGCUAAAAUGGCCCCCAGGGAGGCUGGGAAGAGAGUCUCGAUUCCAGGCAGCCAUGGGCCUUAUUAAAGUGGAUCGCCCACGUUCCAGCAGCCGCGUUCACCGUGUGACAGGUUGGGAAGCACUGUCACACCAGCUUCAACACCCCUGUGAGCCCGAGCUGGGGGAGGAGAGUCACCCCACAGAUCCGACGAGGAAAGCCAGACUCAGAGAAGGCGAGGCCUUGCCCAUCUUGAUCCAGGACUCUAUCAAUGUGACCAGUCUUUCCAUGUUGGAUCUGCCUUGAAACAGUCUCCAUUCUCAGCAGGCUCUCCCCUCCUGGUUGGAGGAUGGCUGCCAGAAGAUUCCAACGCCACCCGCUUCUUUAUUCAUGUCCCGUGGGAAAGAUUCCCAGCAUUGAAUCUCUUUGGCCCUGAUCAUGUUGACAUGGGUCACGUGCUCCUUUAUUAAUUAACCUGUCACUGUGUGAUAGGAAAUGCUGAUUGGCUAGGCCAGCCUGGCUCAACCCUUAAGCUGCAUGUGGGGCCAAUUCUAGCCAGAUGCAUGGCUGGGAAAUUUGGGAUUCUCUGAGAAAUGGGGAGGGGAGGAAACAGACACUGUAGAAGCAACAAGCACACUCCAUGCCACCACUCGGUCUCAUUUCUUACCAUUCCCCAUAUACGCCCUCAUCUCUCCCUAAUCAUUGAUCCAGCACCUUCUGGAGGCUCCAGCUCUGUCCCUCCCUAGAAAACCCUCUGUACCAGUCAGGACUCUGGUUGCAAGCGACGGAAACCCAAGUGAAAUGGGCAUGAGCCAAAAGGGAAUUGUCUCACAUAAUUGUAAAGUCCAGAAACAGUGCUGCUGGCAUUAGGCCCGGGUGGUCCCAGGGACCCUGCCAGUGUCAUGGGUGCUUGGCCUCUUCUCCAUCUCCCGGCUCUCUCUCCUCCACGCGACUUCAUUCUCAGGAGACCCUGCCCAGUAAGCGGCAGGGGCGCCCCAGCACCCCAGGCCCUCAUUCGCUGGUUUGCCUAGUGUUCAGCCAAAGCCCCAGGGCGACUUUCAUUGGUCCACCGCUGACCAAUCACUGAGGAGGGGCGGGGCUGGCACCAGGUGACCGGUCUGACCUGGAUCGGUGUGCCCCUGCAGCUGGGGGAGGGGAGCCCCGCCUGACCCGCAGGACUGAUGGAAAGUCUGAAGGUCGUUUCCAGAGAGGAAGCCUGGGAGCUGGGCAGACAGGAGAAGAGCUUCAGUGACCCCGCAGUGUCUUUGUCGGCGCUGCGUUGCUCUGCAUUUUUCUCCAGAAACGUCUCCCCCUCCGUGUGUAGAACAUGGGGAUAAGAAUCACGUCAUCGUCCCUUCUCUGAUUAGUAGGUGCCUAAUAAACCCUGCAGAACAGAAUGCAGCUUGAAAUUUGAUGUGGCAAUCACAGCUACUGUGGAUGGAGCAGCCACCUACGCCAGCUCUUCAGAAGUGUUGUCAGGAAUUACAUUUAAGCAACAGGA
This 5508-nucleotide long non-coding RNA is filed under the name Equus caballus (horse). Its description in RNAcentral is "lncRNA (ENSECAG00000052480.1)". Lineage: Eukaryota; Metazoa; Chordata; Mammalia; Perissodactyla; Equidae. The record is from RNAcentral.